Molecule: transfer RNA, 68 nt
Filed under: Trichochrysea japana
Lineage: Eukaryota; Metazoa; Arthropoda; Insecta; Coleoptera; Chrysomelidae
Description: tRNA-Ser
Source: RNAcentral
AGUUAAUGAACUUGAUAAAGUAUAUAUUUUGAAAAUAUAAUUAAAGAAAUUAAAUUUUCUAUUAACUU